RNAcentral lists this ribosomal RNA (402 nucleotides) under Actinomycetes bacterium. RNAcentral's name for it is "Actinobacteria bacterium partial 16S ribosomal RNA". It matches the Rfam family "Bacterial small subunit ribosomal RNA", at positions 355 to 776 of the family's 1533-position model. Lineage: Bacteria; Bacillati; Actinomycetota; Actinomycetes. The record is from RNAcentral.
UGGGGAAUUUUGCACAAUGGGGGCAACCCUGAUGCAGCGACGCCGCGUGAUUUAGAAGGCCUUCGGGUUGUAAAAAUCUUUUGUAUGGGAAGAAAAUGACAGUACCAUACGAAUAAGGACCGGCUAAUUACGUGCCAGCAGCCGCGGUAAUACGUAAGGUCCGAGCGUUGUCCGGAAUCAUUGGGCGUAAAGGGUACGUAGGCGGAUAAGCAAGUUAGAAGUGAAAUCCUAUAGCUCAACUAUAGUAAGCUUUUAAAACUGCUCAUCUUGAAGUAUGGAAGGGAAAGUGGAAUUCCUAGUGUAGCGGUGAAAUGCGCAGAUAUUAGGAGGAAUACCGGUGGCGAAGGCGACUUUCUGGCCAUAAACUGACGCUGAGGUACGAAAGCGUGGGUAGCAAACAGG